RNAcentral lists this transfer RNA (85 nucleotides) under Felis catus (domestic cat). It matches the Rfam family "tRNA". Rfam says of the family: Transfer RNA (tRNA) molecules are approximately 80 nucleotides in length. Their secondary structure includes four short double-helical elements and three loops (D, anti-codon, and T loops). The record is from Rfam by way of RNAcentral. Lineage: Eukaryota; Metazoa; Chordata; Mammalia; Carnivora; Felidae.
GCCUGGGUGGCUCAGUGGGUUGAGCGACUGACUUCGGCUCAGGUCAUGACCUCACGGUUCGUGGGUUCGAGCCCCGCGUCGGGCU